GACGAACGCUGGCGGCGUGCCUAACACAUGCCAGUCGAACGGAACUGUUUUGAAAGCUUUCUUCGGAAUGAAUUUGAUUUAGUUUAGUGGCGGACGGGUGAGUAACGCGUGAGUAACCUGCCUUCAAGAGGGGAAUAACAUUCUGAAAAGAAUGCUAAUACCGCAUGACAUAUCGGAACCACAUGGUUUUGAUAUCAAAGAUUUUAUCGCUUGAAGAUGGACUCGCGUCCGAUUAGUUAGUUGGUGAGGUAACGGCUCACCAAGACCGCGAUCGGUAGCCGGACUGAGAGGUUGAACGGCCACAUUGGGACUGAGACACGGCCCAGACUCCUACGGGAGGCAGCAGUGGGGGAUAUUGCGCAAUGGGGGCAACCCUGACGCAGCAACGCCGCGUGAAGGAUGAAGGUUUUCGGAUUGUAAACUUCUUUUAUUAAGGACGAAAAAUGACGGUACUUAAUGAAUAAGCGCCGGCUAACUACGUG
Molecule: ribosomal RNA, 482 nt
Filed under: uncultured bacterium
Lineage: Bacteria
Description: partial 16S ribosomal RNA
Rfam family: Bacterial small subunit ribosomal RNA
Source: RNAcentral